This 612-nucleotide long non-coding RNA is filed under the name Homo sapiens (human). RNAcentral describes it as "non-protein coding ANKRD34C-AS1:5". The record is from RNAcentral. Lineage: Eukaryota; Metazoa; Chordata; Mammalia; Primates; Hominidae.
GAACUGAGAGCAGCGUUGGCCGGGGGCUAGGGAGCCGGGCUGUUCCACGCUCACUGUGCGCCUCGGGCGGCGGGGCUCGGGCUCUGUCCGAGGUGCUGAACUCCGGGGCUCCGGCCGCGCCGGCAGAGUGUGCCAGCGUCCAUUAUUGCCAGUGUCUGUGGGCAUCUUCCAGAAGGCCGAGCAUGGGGGUCAGGUGAAACCAGGGCGCUCCCAAGCACCUUGCCCAGUAGAGCCCCCUUGCACCCUGCUUGGUUGGUCAGCACCCCAUGGACAUGCAGCCUUGACCUUGGCAUGGGAAGCCUCCACUGUGUCAAGCCCAACAUCCAGGCCUCUGAAGACAGUCAUUCAGCCAUGAAUAUCAAUUAUUACAGAAAUGAAAAGGGAUCCUGCACCCAAAUUCAAAUCAAGCAAGUUCACCUAGAGGUUGCCGUGGGGUGGAGGGCCCAGAUCUGGGCUGUUUGGAUCUCUCUGCAGGAUGAAAGGGAUUUCCUGGACCUGGCUUUGCUGUCCCUUGCUCCUUUUGUAAGCAUCUGACUCUUCCUCUAUCCAUAAAGAUGAAGACAUUCUUUCGCAGGGAUUUAAUAUUGGGGCUGCAUGCCUGGCCCCUGAGAA